UUAGGAGCCUCAUCCAGGGCCCUGAACACCUAACCCAUCUGGAACAAUGGGACGUGGGAUUUCUCAACUCUCCUUUUGGAUCUGUCGCCUUCAAUAAAGAACAAGAUCAUGGAUAAUUUCUUCCCCACUAUGAGUAGGGACAGGGACUAUCCCAUUUGGAACUUGACUGAAAAUGGCAUGUUUUCGUGUGUCAGUGCUUCUAACCACCAAUCAAAUGCGAGCAAUAUCUUUUCCUGGAUUUGGAAACUGAAGAUCCCUCCCAAAAUUAAGCACUUUCUAUGGCUUAGCAACCACAACAGGCUCCCUUGUUCCAAUACUAUUAGGAAUAUGGGAUCCCCAUUAAUCAAUAAUGCAAGGUCUGCCGACUGCCAUCACCCAUGUGAGGACGUUCCCCAUGUCUUCUGAUUUUGUCCCGACACUGCCCAUCUCUGGAAUGAGCUCAUCACUCGAUGUGCAUAUCCCAUCCCAUCAUAUCCUUUCACCCAUGGAUUGAACAACUGGAGCUCUAUCCAUAACAAACCUUUCGACGAGUUCAUAAACAUGGACACUCUUCUAUCCUUCUGUUUGUGUCCACGUCUGAAAAAUCAGAAAUGAGAUGUUCUACAACUCUUGCGCUCAAAGACUUUCAAAUUACAAAUUAUGCCCUACGGGCAAGAGUUGACGUUACCACGUUAUGUCUUUAUUUAUGAGAUUUCUACCACUCUUGUCUUAGAGGCAAGACUUGACUCAAAACCUUUCAAACUACAAAUUAUGCCCCACAGGCAAGAGUUGACACUACCACGUUAUGUAUUCAUUUAUGAGAUGUUCUACAAUUCUUGCUCUCAAAGACUUUCAAACUACAAAUUAUACCCUACAGGCAAGAGUUGACGUUACCACGUUAUGUCUUUAUUUAUGAGAUGUUCUACAACUCUUGCCUUAGAGGCAUGACUUAACACAAAGAAUUUCAAACUACAUAUUACGUCCCAUGGGCAAGAGUUGACACUAACACGUUAUGUCUUCAUUUAUGAAAUGUUCUAUAACUCUUGCCUUAGAGUCAAGACUUUAGCUCAAGAACUUUCAAAUAAUAAAUUAUGCCCCAUGGGCAAGAGUUGACACUACCACGUUAUGUCUUCAUUUAUGGGAUGUUCUACAACUCUUGCCUUAGAGGCAAGACUUAACUCAAGAACUUUCAAAUAAUAAAUUAUGCCCCAUGGGCAAGAGUUGACACUACCACGUUAUGUCUUCAUUUAUGAGAUGUUCUACAACUCUUGCCUUAGAGGCAAGACUUAGCUCAAGGACUUUCAAAUAAUAAAUUAUGCCCCACGAGCAAGAGGUGACACUACCACUUAUUUAUGAGAUAUUCUACAACUCUCAUUUUAGAGACACGACUUAUCUCAAAAAAUUUCGAAGAACUUCGUAACAACAAUUCAUGUCCUUAAAUUUUCUUUGAUGUAAAAAAAAGGAUUUCUUUGCGGAUUAUCUAAUUUUUUAUUUAUUAGCAAAAUAUAAUAGAAGUUGAGAAAAAAGAAAAAAC
Molecule: long non-coding RNA, 1513 nt
Filed under: Capsicum annuum
Lineage: Eukaryota; Viridiplantae; Streptophyta; Magnoliopsida; Solanales; Solanaceae
Description: long non-coding RNA (CANN_LNC021451)
Source: RNAcentral